This 76-nucleotide transfer RNA is filed under the name Acidimicrobiales bacterium. RNAcentral's name for it is "tRNA-Thr". It matches the Rfam family "tRNA". From Rfam's summary of the family: Transfer RNA (tRNA) molecules are approximately 80 nucleotides in length. Their secondary structure includes four short double-helical elements and three loops (D, anti-codon, and T loops). Further hydrogen bonds mediate the characteristic L-shaped molecular structure. tRNAs have two regions of fundamental functional importance: the anti-codon, which is responsible for specific mRNA codon recognition, and the 3' end, to which the tRNAs corresponding amino acid is attached (by aminoacyl-tRNA synthetases). tRNAs cope with the degeneracy of the genetic code in two manners: having more than one tRNA (with a specific anti-codon) for a particular amino acid; and 'wobble' base-pairing, i.e. permitting non-standard base-pairing at the 3rd anti-codon position. The record is from RNAcentral. Lineage: Bacteria; Bacillati; Actinomycetota; Acidimicrobiia; Acidimicrobiales.
GCCCGUGUAGCUCAGAUGGCAGAGCAACCGCCUUGUAAGCGGUAGGUCGUGGGUUCGACUCCCACCGCGGGCUCCA